AUACCUUUCUCGGCCUUUUGGCUAAGAUCAAGUGUAGUUUCUGUUCUUAUCAGUUUAAUAUCUGAUACGUGGGCCAUGUGCCCACCUUGAUAUUAAAUUAAUUUUUUGUGGGAGAGGGCCCACCCACGGUAGCUUGCUACCGGGGCCCUCGUGUGUUGCCCUUGCGUUGCACUACUGCUCGGGCUUGGCGCAUCCCUA
Molecule: small nuclear RNA, 198 nt
Organism: Ananas comosus (pineapple)
Lineage: Eukaryota; Viridiplantae; Streptophyta; Magnoliopsida; Poales; Bromeliaceae
Rfam family: U2 spliceosomal RNA
About the family: U2 is a small nuclear RNA (snRNA) component of the spliceosome (involved in pre-mRNA splicing). Complementary binding between U2 snRNA (in an area lying towards the 5' end but 3' to hairpin I) and the branchpoint sequence (BPS) of the intron results the bulging out of an unpaired adenosine, on the BPS, which initiates a nucleophilic attack at the intronic 5' splice site, thus starting the first of two transesterification reactions that mediate splicing.
Source: Rfam